RNAcentral lists this ribosomal RNA (253 nucleotides) under uncultured bacterium. RNAcentral describes it as "partial 16S ribosomal RNA". It matches the Rfam family "Bacterial small subunit ribosomal RNA", at positions 524 to 776 of the family's 1533-position model. The record is from RNAcentral.
UACGUAGGGGGCAAGCGUUGUCCGGAAUCAUUGGGCGUAAAGAGCGUGUAGGCGGCUCGGUAAGUCCGUUCUGAAAGUCCAGGGCUCAACCCUGGGAUGCGGAUGGAUACUGUCGGGCUCGAGUCCGGAAGAGGCGAGUGGAAUUCCUGGUGUAGCGGUGAAAUGCGCAGAUAUCAGGAGGAACACCUAUUGCGAAGGCAGCUCGCUGGGACGUAACUGACGCUGAGACGCGAAAGCGUGGGGAGCAAACAGG